Molecule: long non-coding RNA, 3106 nt
Filed under: Capsicum annuum
Lineage: Eukaryota; Viridiplantae; Streptophyta; Magnoliopsida; Solanales; Solanaceae
Description: long non-coding RNA (CANN_LNC016270)
Source: RNAcentral
CCACUUCUUCGGCUUUUGCCGAUAUGACACCGAAAAUUACGAAUUUGAUCAGAUUUAGUCUAUUUUCCGGCGCGGCUUGAAAAAAGAAAGAGAGAAGGGUAUUUUUAAUGGUGGUUGGUGGCUGACGACUCGAUGAUAGCGAAUUCCGGCGAGAAAUUCACCGUUUUCCAGCGGGUAUCCACCAUUUCCGGCGAGGUGGAUGGCGAUUCCAGCGAUGAGUGGUUGAUUUUGCAACAUGGGGGAGGGGGAAGGCGCCAGAGAUGGCACUGUUGUUUUGUCGGCGAGCAGCGGCGGGAAAAGGGGAAGAGGGACGAUGGUUGACGGAGAACGGCGACCGGAUGGAGGCAGCAGUGACGCGAUGGCGUUUUCCGGUAGGUAGGGGUAGUUUGGCCGACGAUUUUUGCGAUUUUUCGACGGAAUAGCCAUCGAAAUAGUGACGGCAGUGGCAGAAAAGAUUGGAUCUGACGAGAAUUGGAGUUUUCCAAUCUUUGUAUUCAAAUUCAAAAACUAGCUCAGAUUACCCAAGUCUACAUAAACAAAUCACCAAUCUAUUCCCAACAAAUGUGAAACUUUUCACCCAGUCUAACAAAAGCACCUACAAUGAUACUCAGUAAGUGAAUCCAAACACUCUUACAACUGCAUCAAGUGUCAAAUGUCAAGGUGUAUUGAGAAGAGAAAUAUGUGGCACUUAAAUUUUUGCUCAAGAUUACAUCAACUACUAAUUAUCGUACAACAACAUUUUGGUAAAAAAAAAAAAAACAUUUUGGUUAAAAAAAAAAAAGCAUGGAACUUUGUAUAUAUACUAACAAAAGAAUAUGAGUGCUAAACUAAUUAGCAAAAUUAACAACAAAGAGGAGCGAAAAAAGAGAGAGGAAGAAGCUCUACCUUGUAAACUAAUAAUACAUAAAUAAAGAAAGCUUUCCUAGAAAAUUUACAUUAAGCCCAUCUAGUUUUGCGUUAAAUAGGAAAUGAAAGAAGGGAAGAUGAAAAGACUACAAUCACUUUUCAUCUGACCAACUUUCUAGAUGAUGGAAUGAAUAAUAAUAAAUAAAACAGAAAAGCGUCAAAAAUAUUCUUGAACUAUGUUAAAUGGAUUAAAAAUGCCUCUCAUUAAUUUCUUGGCUUAAAAAUAUCUCUCCAUUAAAUAUUUAGUUCAAAAAUAUCCUUUUUUCUAAUAAAAUUUCACCAAGCAUGCUACAUGUGUAAAAAAGACCACGUGGACAUGUCACAUGAUCGUCCACAUGUAAAAUUCACUCUUUAUUUGCAACCAUUUGGCUGUGAUUUGUUCUCUGUGGAUCCAUUCGUAAGAAUAAGUGUUUAGAACUAAAUUCUUGCGUCGUAUUUUUAGAAUAAUUCGAUGUGAAAAAUUAUUUUCUCCUUCCUUGGUUAGAAAUAACCUGUAUGAUGACUAUAUUUGGAUGUUAUGCUAUGUUUCACUUUUACCAUCAACAUAUGAGAUGAUCUUCUUUAAUCUGCUUAAUCCAGUUUUAAAUUUCUCCUCAUUUCAUUGAUAACAUACAAUUUUUCGUUGGAAUUGAUUGGACUGAAAAAUUGGACAGUUCUUUUUUCGAUUUUAAUGUGCCGAUUCUGUGUUAUUUAUUCAUUUUAUCUGAUCAAGCUUGUUAAAUUUCUUGUUGCUCUAUGUAAGAGUUGAAGAAAGUUCUCAAUAUGUAUACAAAAUAUAGAGUUGAAAAAAGUUCUCUUUGCAUUUUAUAGGACGGGUAGUUUACAUGAAAUGUACAGUCACUUCACUAUUAAGUACACAGUAACAUGAUAAUAGCUUGUGUUUUUUUAUCAAGUUAUCUGGCAUGAAGCACGGUGACCUGACAGUACUGUACCCAAACGUUGGUAGAUGACGGAUAGCAAGAUGUUCCAUUUUUCCCCUCUUAGGCCAAUAACUUUGGCUUGAAAAACAACAAUUUUGAUUUCUUUAUGGCUGGAUCGAUUUCUUUAUAUAAAUCAAACAUUCACAUGUUCUGGUUGUUGCUGCUACUUUUGAAUUUUCUGUUGUUUAAAAGUUUAGACAAAGAUAACUUCCUUAAUUCCAUCCACCUGCCUCUCCUAGAUUCUUGUUACGUUAUGAUUGUUCCUUCAAGAUGUGUAGUAAUGAAACUGAUGUGGCUAUCUCAUUUAAAUUGGGUUGAUAGAAUUAAAGAGGAGAUUUUACAUGGACGAUGAUGUAGCAUGUUCAUAUGGCUUUUUUACACAUGUGGUAUGCUUGGUGGAAUUCUGUGAGAGGGAGGGGCAUUUUUUAGCUAAAUAUUUAACGAAAGAGUAUUUUUGAGCCAAGAAAUUAACGAGGAAUAUUUUUAAUUCAUUUCACAUAAUUUAGGAAUAUUUUUUAUCUUUUUCCGAUAAAUAAAAUAAGAGGAGAUGAAAAGUCAUUUUUUCAACCCACAGACUUUUGAUAUGACAAUUCAUUAUGUAACUUCACUGUUUUCUCCAAAGUUUUAAUUAAAUAUACUUAGUGGGUGUUAGUGGGUGUUUGGAAGUGCUUAUAGGUUGGUCAGAGAGGUCACUUAACUUUUGAAGAGUUUUUUAAAUCUAACCUUCAACUAUUCCCACCGUUUUAUCUAUUUAGCCUUCUUGACUUUGUAUAUUUUUUAAAAAAAAAAAAAAUUAUGAAUGUAUUUUACUAGAUUAAUUUUAUUAAUAAUAUUUUAAAAUUUUAAUUUUAAUUAAUGUUAUUAUUUUAUACAGUUAUUUAAUAAUAAGACUCGAAUUCAAAAUUAAUUAAGGAUGAAUGAAUCAUAUCUAUCACACUAAACCCGAGGUGUCCUUCUGUUUGAAAUGUACUUUGUAUUUCUUUUUAUUUUUUUUAUUUGAGUUGCAAUUAUAUUCCUAAACACUUGCUCUUUUAAUCUUUUAAAAUAAUUUGAACAAAAAUUUUUUAUUAUGUCUUUAUUUAAUAAAUGUAUUAUUAUUGAUUUAAAAAAGAUAUAAAUUUAAUUAGGAAUAUAUUGAUAAAAUUAAUUUUAAUUUUAUAGGGAUACAAAAUUUUAAGAUUUUAUAGGAGUACAAGUGUGCCCGACUCAAAUGAAGCAAAUAAAAAGCAACAGAGGAAGUAACUCAUUGGGUUAGGGACUUACUCGUCAUUUGGUGUGAG